Molecule: ribosomal RNA, 254 nt
Filed under: uncultured bacterium
Lineage: Bacteria
Description: partial 16S ribosomal RNA
Rfam family: Bacterial small subunit ribosomal RNA
Source: RNAcentral
GCAAGUCGAGGGGUAACAUUAGUUGCUUGCAACCAUAUGACGACCGUCGCACGGGUGCGCACCGCGUAUGGAACCUACCUUUUACAGGGGAAUAUCCCAGGGAAACUGGAUUAAUGCCCCGUAGUACCUUUAUAUAGCAUUAUAUUAAGGUUAAAGGCUUCGGCCGGUAUAAGAUGGACAUGCGUCCCAUUAGUUAGUUGGCGAGGUAACGGCUCACCAAGACGGCGAUGGGUAGGGGCCCUGAGAGGGGGAUC